RNAcentral lists this ribosomal RNA (1400 nucleotides) under Streptococcus thermophilus. Its description in RNAcentral is "bacterial SSU rRNA". It matches the Rfam family "Bacterial small subunit ribosomal RNA". The record is from RNAcentral. Lineage: Bacteria; Bacillati; Bacillota; Bacilli; Lactobacillales; Streptococcaceae.
CUAUAAUGCAAGUAGAACGCUGGAAGAGAGGAGCUUGCUCUUCUUGGAUGAGUUGCGAACGGGUGAGUAACGCGUAGGUAACCUGCCUUGUAGCGGGGGAUAACUAUUGGAAACGAUAGCUAAUACCGCAUAACAAUGGAUGACACAUGUCAUUUAUUUGAAAGGGGCAAUUGCUCCACUACAAGAUGGACCUGCGUUGUAUUAGCUAGUAGGUGAGGUAAUGGCUCACCUAGGCGACGAUACAUAGCCGACCUGAGAGGGUGAUCGGCCACACUGGGACUGAGACACGGCCCAGACUCCUACGGGAGGCAGCAGUAGGGAAUCUUCGGCAAUGGGGGCAACCCUGACCGAGCAACGCCGCGUGAGUGAAGAAGGUUUUCGGAUCGUAAAGCUCUGUUGUAAGUCAAGAACGGGUGUGAGAGUGGAAAGUUCACACUGUGACGGUAGCUUACCAGAAAGGGACGGCUAACUACGUGCCAGCAGCCGCGGUAAUACGUAGGUCCCGAGCGUUGUCCGGAUUUAUUGGGCGUAAAGCGAGCGCAGGCGGUUUGAUAAGUCUGAAGUUAAAGGCUGUGGCUCAACCAUAGUUCGCUUUGGAAACUGUCAAACUUGAGUGCAGAAGGGGAGAGUGGAAUUCCAUGUGUAGCGGUGAAAUGCGUAGAUAUAUGGAGGAACACCGGUGGCGAAAGCGGCUCUCUGGUCUGUAACUGACGCUGAGGCUCGAAAGCGUGGGGAGCGAACAGGAUUAGAUACCCUGGUAGUCCACGCCGUAAACGAUGAGUGCUAGGUGUUGGAUCCUUUCCGGGAUUCAGUGCCGCAGCUAACGCAUUAAGCACUCCGCCUGGGGAGUACGACCGCAAGGUUGAAACUCAAAGGAAUUGACGGGGGCCCGCACAAGCGGUGGAGCAUGUGGUUUAAUUCGAAGCAACGCGAAGAACCUUACCAGGUCUUGACAUCCCGAUGCUAUUUCUAGAGAUAGAAAGUUACUUCGGUACAUCGGUGACAGGUGGUGCAUGGUUGUCGUCAGCUCGUGUCGUGAGAUGUUGGGUUAAGUCCCGCAACGAGCGCAACCCCUAUUGUUAGUUGCCAUCAUUCAGUUGGGCACUCUAGCGAGACUGCCGGUAAUAAACCGGAGGAAGGUGGGGAUGACGUCAAAUCAUCAUGCCCCUUAUGACCUGGGCUACACACGUGCUACAAUGGUUGGUACAACGAGUUGCGAGUCGGUGACGGCGAGCUAAUCUCUUAAAGCCAAUCUCAGUUCGGAUUGUAGGCUGCAACUCGCCUACAUGAAGUCGGAAUCGCUAGUAAUCGCGGAUCAGCACGCCGCGGUGAAUACGUUCCCGGGCCUUGUACACACCGCCCGUCACACCACGAGAGUUUGUAACACCCGAAGUCGGUGA